GAUCCUGGCUCAGGAUGAACGCUAGCUACAGGCUUAACACAUGCAAGUCGAGGGGCAGCAUGAACUUAGCUUGCUAAGUUUGAUGGCGACCGGCGCACGGGUGAGUAACACGUAUCCAACCUGCCGAUGACUCGGGGAUAGCCUUUCGAAAGAAAGAUUAAUACCCGAUGGCAUAGUUCUUUCCGCAUGGUAGAACUAUUAAAGAAUUUCGGUUCAUCGAUGGGGAGUGCGUUCCAUUAGGUUGG
This 245-nucleotide ribosomal RNA is filed under the name uncultured bacterium. Its description in RNAcentral is "partial 16S ribosomal RNA". It matches the Rfam family "Bacterial small subunit ribosomal RNA", at positions 15 to 249 of the family's 1533-position model. The record is from RNAcentral.